RNAcentral lists this ribosomal RNA (468 nucleotides) under uncultured bacterium. RNAcentral describes it as "partial 16S ribosomal RNA". It matches the Rfam family "Bacterial small subunit ribosomal RNA", at positions 28 to 507 of the family's 1533-position model. The record is from RNAcentral.
GACGAACGCUGGCGGCGCGCCUAACACAUGCAAGUCGAACGGAGUCACGAGGAGCUUGCUUUUCUUGACUUAGUGGCGAACGGGUGAGUAACGCGUGAGUAACCUGCCCUGGAGUGGGGGACAACAGUUGGAAACGACUGCUAAUACCGCAUAAGCCCACGGAUCCGCAUGGAUCUGCGGGAAAAGGAUUUAUUCGCUUCAGGAUGGACUCGCGUCCAAUUAGCUAGUUGGUGAGGUAACGGCCCACCAAGGCGACGAGUGGUAGCCGGACUGAGAGGUUGAACGGCCACAUUGGAACUGAGACACGGCCCAGACUCCUACGGGAGGCAGCAGUGGGGGAUAUUGCACAAUGGGGGAAACCCUGAUGCAGCGACGCCGCGUGGAGGAAGAAGGUUUUCGGAUUGUAAACUCCUGUCGUUAGGGACGAUAAUGACGGUACCUAACAAGAAAGCACCGGCUAACUACGUG